This 515-nucleotide ribosomal RNA is filed under the name uncultured bacterium. Its description in RNAcentral is "partial 16S ribosomal RNA". It matches the Rfam family "Bacterial small subunit ribosomal RNA", at positions 28 to 523 of the family's 1533-position model. The record is from RNAcentral.
GAUGAACGCUGGCGGCGUGCCUAAUACAUGCAAGUCGAGCGAAUGGAUUAAGAGCUUGCUCUUAUGAAGUUAGCGGCGGACGGGUGAGUAACACGUGGGUAACCUGCCCAUAAGACUGGGAUAACUCCGGGAAACCGGGGCUAAUACCGGAUAACAUUUUGAACCGCAUGGUUCGAAAUUGAAAGGCGGCUUCGGCUGUCACUUAUGGAUGGACUCGCGUCGCAUAAGCUAGUUGGUGAGGAAACGGCUCACCAAGGCAACGAUGCGUAGCCGACCUGAGAGGGUGAGCGGCCACACUGGGACUGAGACACGGCCCAGACUCCUACGGGAGGCAGCAGUAGGGAAUCUUCCGCAAUGGACGAAAGUCUGACGGAGCAACGCCGCGUGAGUGAUGAAGGCUUUCGGGUCGUAAAACUCUGUUGUUAGGGAAGAACAAGUGCUAGUUGAAUAAGCUGGCACCUUGACGGUACCUAACCAGAAAGCCACGGCUAACUACGUGCCAGCCGCCGCGGUAA